Rattus norvegicus (Norway rat) is the source of this 2170-nucleotide non-coding RNA. The record is from RefSeq and is a predicted model, not a curated record. NCBI's taxonomy places the organism in Eukaryota, Metazoa, Chordata, Mammalia, Rodentia, Muridae.
UUGCCUGGCAACAGCCAGCAAUGCCUGACACUAUAUAAGGGGCUGCUUGGCCCCUUCUUGCUCUCUUGCUCUUCCUCUCUCCUCUUCUCUGCUCUCUUGCCCUCUCCCCUUUGUCCCCUCUCUCCCCAUUCCCCACUCCUUUCCUCCACGUGCCCAUGGCCAGCCUUUACUUCUGUCUUCUACUCUUCUCUCAUUAAACCUCUCCACAUGGAACCAUGUUGGCUUGGUGUGGUCUGGACACUGGGCCGAGAUGUCAACCCCAACAGCUCUUCCUUAAUUUCCUUCAAGGUGGGAGAUAUAUGGGACCCAACAUGUGAUUCUCCGCUGGUUGGAGGGAGCCAAGGGUAGGAAUAAAUGAAGGUCUACAGUUGGGGCUGGAGGAUAAAACUUCAACUUAGAUUCUCCCAGCAGUCACUAUGUGAUUUGUUGAAAUAAUAUCCCCUUUGGGCUUUUAUUCCUUCAGUUGAAAUGUUUAGGAGAGCCAGUUCCAGGCCAGCCAAAGUUAUACAGUGAUAUCCUACAGUAGAUGAACACUGAUGGUAUCACAUAUCUGCUGGGAACAGAAUGUCAGAGAACACAUGGACGUCAGACUUAUGCUGUUAGAUUUAAGUUUAAUGCUAUAAGUUUUUUUCUUUUCUUUUUUUCUCCAUCUUUAUUAACUUGGGUAUUUCUUAUUUACAUUUCAAUUGUUAUUCCCUUUCCCGGUUUCCGGGCCAAUAUCCCCCUAACCUCUCCUCCUCCCCUUCUAUAUGGGUGUUCCCCUCCCCAUCCUUCCCCCAUUACUGCCCUCCCCCCAACAAUCACGUUCACUGGGGGUUCAGACUUGGCAGGACCAAGGUCUUCCCCGUCCACUUGUGCUCUUACUAGGCUGUUCAUUGUUACCUAUGAGGUUGGAGCCCAGGGUCAGUCCAUGUAUAGUCUUUGGGUAGUGGCUUAGUCCCUGGAAAGUUUUUUCUUUUAAUUGCUGCAUAAAAUGUAAAUAUUGUGGUGGUUUGUAUAUGCUUAGGACAGGGAGUAGCACUAUUAGGAAGUGUGGCCUUGUUGGAGUAGGUGUGGCCUUGUUGGAGUGGGUGUGGCCUUGUUGGAGUAGGUGUGUCACUGUGGGUGUAGGCUUUAAGACCCUCUUCCUAGCUGCCUGGAAAUCAGUAUUUCAUUAGCAACCUUCAGAUGAAGAUGUAGAACUCUCAGCUCCUCCUGCACCAUGUCUGCCUGGAUGCUGUCAUGCUCCCACCUUGAUGACAAUGGACUGAACCUCUGAACCUGCACAGAAAAACACGUACCACACGUUUCAAGUGUGACUCCCUCUUCAAAUUGUUAGAUCUGUGUGUUAAUGUUGGAGCAAACAUCUGUAAAGCCAGGAACUGGAAAGGGACCAUGUUGGGGCAGAUGUUACAGAUGUAUGAGAAAAUAUUACGGGAGUUAGAUGCUCAGCAUUGACAACAGUAACUGCCAGGAAAGUGGAAUGAUUAUGACAAUAUACCAUAUCAAUAGUUUUGUGACUGUGGUCUUUCCUGUUCACAAUCUUCUAAAGAAGCUUCCUACUGUGUAUCUCCACUUUACAGGGCACUGUGCCAUGAAGUAAUUUCAACCAGGGAAUAAAUUAGAGGCCCUGGCUACAUCUUAGGAAAGUGCAGAGAAAACACUCCCUUGCUACAUUUGGCAAAUCGAAUGUACAAAUGAGCUCAAGUUCUUAGAAGAAAACUGGGUUCUUAGUGGCUGUCCCCAUCAUGCAUCCGUGAGGACAAUUGCAAAUUAAUUUAAGUGAAUUGGAGAACAUAAACACAAGAGAACAUUUUCUGAAGAUGGCUUCGUCAGGGUUUUAAAUGGAAACUGGAUGGAAGUCUAUUUAAGUGACCAGUCCAUUGAGCAGGCAUCUUAUUUGUAUGCAUGGGAAAUCCAAGAAAAUCAUCCAGGAUGCUGGCCAGGAUGCUGCAGACGGGAGAUGCUCAUCACUGCUCCUUCUCUCUCCCUCAGUGGAAGACAAAGAGAAGACCAGAAGUGCCCUGUACCUACUAACAGAAUAGCUCCUGGUUGGUCACUUGAUUUGAGUCUAGAAGGCUGACCAGGCAGCUGACUCUUCCCUCCAGCCCUACGUGGUCAUGUCUUGUACAGGAUGGGAUGGGAUCAAGGUCUUCACUAAAUCUGAUAAUAAAUGGUUCAAAAUAACAAA